GUUUCUAAAUCUGCCUCUUAGAAGAUAUCAGAAAGUUAAAGUUUCUCUUGCUGCCGCCGUGUAAGAAGGACCUUUUGCCUCCCACCAUGAUUCUAAGUCCUCCCCAGCCACGUGGAACUGCUUUCAUUUGGUCUCUUUUCGAAUCAGAAGACCCAGAAAACUUGGAUCCACUUCUGGCUCUCAUCCCUCUGGGCAGUGUGAUUUGGAUUGAGCAGAUGCUCCGGCUGCCACUCCAUCAUAUAUUGGAAACAGCAUUACUUUAUAGUAAAUCAUGACCACGGUGUAUGGCAAUGAAGUUGCAUCUGAAGCAGCCGGCACCCUAUGUGCUAGCUGGCUUUUAGACCAGGAGACUGUGAAUCUGUGGUCAGGAUCUCUUUAGGGCUGCUAAAUAUAUACUACCCACUAUCACUCGCUGGAGCUGCAGACCCUAGUUUUAGAGUUUCACUUCUUAAAGACCUUCAUCCUUAUUAAAAUGGUAAUAUCCUUACUGUC
RNAcentral lists this long non-coding RNA (492 nucleotides) under Homo sapiens (human). RNAcentral describes it as "non-protein coding LINC02384:38". The record is from RNAcentral. Lineage: Eukaryota; Metazoa; Chordata; Mammalia; Primates; Hominidae.